AAUAUUGCACAAUGGGCGAAAGCCUGAUGCAGCAACGCCGCGUGAGGGAUGAAGGCCUUCCGGUCGUAAAGCUCUUUUAUCAGGGAUGAGAAGAGCAGUACCUGAAAAACAAGCCACGCCCAACUAAGUCCCAGCCGCCGCGGUAAUACGUAGGUGGCGAGCGUUGUCCGGAACUACUGGGCGGAAAGGAAGGGUAGGUGGAUAUGUAAGUGGGAUGUGAAAUCCCCGGGCUCAACCCGGGAACUGCAUUCCAAACUGGGUAUCUAGAGUGCAGGAGGGGAAAGCGGAAUUCCUAGUGUAGCGGUGAAAUGCGUAGAUAUUAGGAGGAACACCAGUGGCGAAGGCGGCUUUCUGGACUGUAACUGACACUGAGGCAUGAAAGCGUGGGUAGCAAACAGG
Molecule: ribosomal RNA, 399 nt
Filed under: uncultured bacterium
Lineage: Bacteria
Description: partial 16S ribosomal RNA
Rfam family: Bacterial small subunit ribosomal RNA
Source: RNAcentral